UACGUAGGGGGCAAGCGUUGUCCGGAAUCAUUGGGCGUAAAGCGCGUGUAGGCGGCUGAGUAAGUCUGCUCUGAAAGCCCGGGGCUCAACCCCGGGAGGCGGGUGGAUACUGCUCAGCUCGAGUCCGGAAGAGGAGUGUGGAAUUCCUGGUGUAGCGGUGAAAUGCGCAGAUAUCAGGAGGAACACCGAUGGCGAAGGCAGGUCUCUGGGCCGAUAUUGACGCUGAGGAGCGAAAGCGUGGGGAGCAAACAGG
Molecule: ribosomal RNA, 253 nt
Filed under: uncultured bacterium
Lineage: Bacteria
Description: partial 16S ribosomal RNA
Rfam family: Bacterial small subunit ribosomal RNA
Source: RNAcentral